CCUACGGGAGGCAGCAGCAGGGAAUCUUGCGCAAUGGGCGAAAGCCUGACGCAGCCACGCCGCGUGAGGGAUGAAGGCUCUAGGGUCGUAAACCUCUUUCAGCAGGGACGAAAAUGACGGUACCUGCAGAAGAAGCUCCGGCCAACUACGUGCCAGCAGCCGCGGUAACACGUAGGGGGCGAGCGUUGUCCGGAUUUAUUGGGCGUAAAGAGCUCGUAGGCUGUUCAGUAAGUCAGGUGUGAAAACUCGAGGCUCAACCUCGAGACGCCACCUGAUACUGCUGUGACUAGAGUCCGGUAGGGGAGUGUGGAAUUCCUGGUGUAGCGGUGAAAUGCGCAGAUAUCAGGAGGAACACCAGCAGCGAAGGCGGCACUCUGGGCCGGUACUGACGCUCAGGAGCGAAAGCAUGGGGAGCGAACAGGAUUAGAUACCCUGGUAGUCCAUGCCGUAAACGUUGGGCACUAGGUGUGGGAUUUAACUAGCAAAUUCCGUGCCGUAGCUAACGCAUUAAGUGCCCCGCCUGGGGAGUACGGCCGCAAGGCUAAAACUCAAAGGAAUUGACGG
This 564-nucleotide ribosomal RNA is filed under the name uncultured bacterium. Its description in RNAcentral is "bacterial SSU rRNA". It matches the Rfam family "Bacterial small subunit ribosomal RNA", at positions 338 to 916 of the family's 1533-position model. The record is from RNAcentral.